GCUUCCGCUGACGACCGGCGCACGGGUGCGUAACGCGUAUGCAACUUGCCCUCAACUGGAAAAUAGCCCGGAGAAAUUCGGAUUAAUAUUCCAUAGUAUCACAGUUUCGCAUGAUUUUGUGAUUAAAGCUUCGGCGGUUGAGGAUGGGCAUGCGUCCUAUUAGCUUGUUGGUGAGGUAAUGGCUCACCAAGGCUGCGAUAGGUAGGGGGCCUGAGAGGGUAAUCCCCCACACUGGUACUGAGACACGGACCAGACUCCUACGGGAGGCAGCAGUGAGGAAUAUUGGUCAAUGGACGAAAGUCUGAACCAGCCAUGCCGCGUGCAGGAUGACGGCCCUACGGGUUGUAAACUGCUUUUAUAAGGGAAUAAACCCCCCGACGUGUCGGGGGCUGAAGGUACCUUACGAAUAAGGAUCGGCUAACUCCGUGCCAGCAGCCGCGGUAAUACGGAGGAUCCAAGCGUUAUCCGGAUUCAUUGGGUUUAAAGGGUCCGCAGGCGGGUUAUUAAGUCAGUGGUGAAAUCCUGCAGCUUAACUGUAGAACUGCCAUUGAUACUGAUAAUCUUGAGUGUAGUUGAAGUGGGCGGAAUGUGUCAUGUAGCGGUGAAAUGCAUAGAUAUGACACAGAACACCGAUUGCGAAGGCAGCUCACUAAGCUAUUACUGACGCUCAUGGACGA
This 677-nucleotide ribosomal RNA is filed under the name uncultured organism. RNAcentral describes it as "bacterial SSU rRNA". It matches the Rfam family "Bacterial small subunit ribosomal RNA", at positions 77 to 756 of the family's 1533-position model. The record is from RNAcentral.